UCAGCCGACACCAUACAAAUCCUCUGCUCUCCCUCUUCAUCUCCUUGUUGAGAAAACCCAAACUCCCAAAAACCAUCUCUAUGUAACUAAAAACUAAACGUAUACACACAUAAAUUUCAUCAUCCUUCCUCAUCACCCACAUAACAACAACAGGCCCCUCUUCUCUCUCAAAUCCGGUGACUGGAGGCGAUCUCCGGCGGGUUAUUCCGGUGUCGGUCCGUUCUGAGAGUCCCCCCCCUUUUCGGCAGAUUAAGCAACGGCCACCACCAUCGUGUGGUGGUGAGCGACGGCAAUGUUGUAUGAUCGACGAUGAUGUUCGAAGAUGAAGAUAGAGGAUCGGUGAUGAAUGAUGGUGUCGACGGUCGGAGAAGACAACAGACGCCUACAGAGUCGCCGUUCACAGCGGUGGUGCUUUAUUUCUUUCCGACGAAUCUUACGGUAAAGCCUUCAAGUUUCUGUUCUUUUUAUUCUCUGAUGAUGGUGGCGGGUGACUGUGGUGGUGGACGAGUCAGUACUUGUUUGGGUCAGUUAAUUUGGGUUCGAUCAUCUAGUUCAAGGCUUCAGUUCGAUUAGUCUGACAAGAGCUUCUGGCAACGACAAGAUACAGUUCGGAGCACGAGUCAGAAUUGGGUCAACGAAAGUCAAACCCGGUCGACUCGGGUCAAACCAAGAAAACUCGGUCAACACCCGGUCAACUCGGGUCAACAGCGAGUCAACGCGAGUCUAAUGAAGUGAACUGAUGAAACUAGAAGAUCUGGUAAAGUUAACGACGCCAAAAAUUAGCUUUAGAUUUUAGAUAGUUACGCGACCGAGCUCGACCCGUUUCGAUUUGGUAUUAAUUUACGUUUAUUAUACUCGACGAAAACUUUAUAUAGAUCGCUUAUAUUAUUGAAUUGGUGUUGAAAAUUGUUGAGUUUGAUAAAGUACGGCAACUUUUUAUUGUCGGGUUAUUACAAAAACAGAGGAAACUCUGCCCGAUUUUCGUUAAAAAGCCAAAAUACGAACGCAUUUAUGUCAUAAAAACGAUACCUAUCGGAUUAGAGUAUUUCUUUUAAAGAUAAAUAUAAAGAAUAUUUCUUUUGGCGACAUUUCCCGAGUUAUAAGUUAACGAAAUCCGAUAAUUUAUAUAAAAUAAAUUCUAUUGUUCAUAUUUAUUUCAAAACACAUUGAAACUCGAAUACCUUUAUAAAAUAAAUAUAAUUAGUUAUUAUAUUUAUUCUGAUCGAUGAAAACUGAAAAACUUUUAUAAAAUAAAUACAAUUAUCUAUAUUUAUUUCAAAUGCCCAAAACUCGGAAAUAUUUUGUAAAAUAAAUAUAAUCAUUUAUAUUUGUUUCAAACGUCGAUACCUCGUGUAAGUUAGGGGGGGCAAUCUUGACCCAAAGGUAUUAGUAUGGGUCAUUCUGGGUGUUUUUUAUACUAUUAUGGGUGGUUUUGGGUGAAGUAAUACAAGUUAAAGGGUCAGACUGGGUCAAUUUGAAAACAGAGGAUAUUUAUGACGGGUGAAGUUGGGUUGGAAAUUUAUAAAGAACGGGUCAGAACGGGUCAUCUAGGUUUUCUGAUAACGGGUCGAUCUCUUGAUGACGCUGCUUCUCUUCUUCACUAUUCUCACCGGAUCUAGCAUGCAUGAUGAAUUGAUGAUGAUAAAAUACAUACAUCAAGACAAUCCUCCAACAAGCUAGGUGAUUCUGAUAUUUCUGUUGGAGUAGAUCUCAAAGCCGAUGAUUCUCCAAUCUUAACUCCUCUAAUUCCUUCUCUUUCACAUCCACGGUUUGCUUUCUUCAUUCCCUGUGGUCCGAUUUAUCUUGAUAAUGGUGGAAUUUGCUGGAACAAGGUUUUUUUAGGGUUAGGGUUCGAGUUAUGGUGAUGAUAUUUUGGGGGAAAUUGGAUAAUCGUAAUACCAAUUUUCUUGGUGUAUCAUCUUUUCAAUUGUAAAGUUAUGAUUUCUCAAAUCAAUUUGAUAUUCAAUCGGAGCCUAUUUGUAAACACCACACUUAGUUUGAUAUUCAAUUGUAUUAGUUACAUUAAUCAAUUGUAUCAUCUUUUCAAUUG
Long non-coding RNA from Helianthus annuus (common sunflower), 2050 nucleotides. RefSeq lists it as uncharacterized. The record is from RefSeq and is a predicted model, not a curated record. The transcript has 2 exons. NCBI's taxonomy places the organism in Eukaryota, Viridiplantae, Streptophyta, Magnoliopsida, Asterales, Asteraceae.